AAUCAACACCUUCUUACCUCCGUAAUGUUGCAAAUAUUCCAACUCACUGCCCUCCAACAGUGUUGCAAGUUAUUCGGAGGGAAGAACAUACGAAUUAGCGUAAACGCGCGGCGCGUCUACUUGUUUCUCUGAUGUGUUGUAUCUUUGACCUUAUCACCAAAACACUUCUUGUCGAAUUGGUAGCUUUAAUAAAGUCAUUUAUUUGGGACCCAGAUGGAUAAGUACUUUUAUUUAUAAAGUCUCUAAAAUGAGUCUUCAGUAAAUCGAUUUCUUCUGUUCUCCAACCUAAAAAAAAGGUACUGCAUCUAAUCAAAAAUUACACUAAAAGAUUUCAAAAAUUUCAUCUGUAGCUGAAGUAAGCACAAACGGGACAUGGAUUUAUUUUUGAAUGCUGUAUGGUGUGUAAGUGGAACGAAGAUGAAAAUAAAAAGAAGUGUAAUGUAUGAAUGUAUAUUAUACAUUUUUUAAUCCAUUUUUGUUGUUGAAAAGCUAUAUUAAAUGGUUUGUUUGGCA
Molecule: long non-coding RNA, 513 nt
Organism: Photinus pyralis (common eastern firefly)
Lineage: Eukaryota; Metazoa; Arthropoda; Insecta; Coleoptera; Lampyridae
Exons: 3
Source: RefSeq, a predicted model, not a curated record